CUGGGGAAGUUGCCAUCUCUUGAAGAAUUAACCGUAGGUGACAUGGAACGCGUGCGGAGGGUGGGGCGUGAAUUCUUGGGAUUGGGAGUUGAUGGGGAGGAUGGUGAGGAUAGUGACAUUAGUAUUGGAGAAAAGACAUCAUCAUCAUCGUCAAAUACUAUUAAUGCAUUCCCCAAGUUGAAAAGUCUUUCCUUUUGGAGAAUGGGACAGUGGGAAGAGUGGGAAGGAGGAGAAGGAGGAAAUGAAGAUAAAACAAACAUCUUCCAUUCAAUCAUAAUGCCAUCUCUUCGUUCCUUGAGAAUUAUGGAGUGCCCAAAACUGAAAGCACUUCCGGAUUACAUGCUCCAGUCAACAACUCUAGAGCAACUGGUAAUCUAUAACAGCCCAAUUAUAGGAGCGCAAUUCAAAGCGGGAGGAGAGGGCUGGCCCAACGCCUCUCAUACCCCAAACAUCAGAAGGAUUAGAUGAGGAGCUUCCUUGGUAUUUGCAAGGUUUACGACGACAAUAGAUAAAUGGCUGCAGGCGCCCGACAACAGGGGGAAAAGAAAUAAUCACAGCGCUCAAAUCCGGAGGAGGAGAAGG
Populus euphratica (Euphrates poplar) is the source of this 582-nucleotide long non-coding RNA. RefSeq lists it as uncharacterized. The transcript has 3 exons. The record is from RefSeq and is a predicted model, not a curated record. NCBI's taxonomy places the organism in Eukaryota, Viridiplantae, Streptophyta, Magnoliopsida, Malpighiales, Salicaceae.